ACGAUGAAGAACGCAGCGAAGUGCGAUAAGCAAUGCGAAUUGCAGAGCCGAGAGUCAUCAGAUUUUUGAACGUAACUGGCGCCGGGGAGUUCUCUCCCCGGCAUGCUUCUUUCAGCGUGUGCUUCUCUCCUCACCCAGACCUUAAUGCGAUAGAUGCCCUUCUAUUGCUAAGCUCGAAAGCACUCUGUUCUCUGCAGCGAAAGCCUCACGGCCGACGCACUCAAUGCAGUAGUCACAUUCUCAAAUGUGAACUCAUUGAGAGUAGAGUCAGUGCAUGCUUGCAUGCCAGUGCUUGGACACUUAAAUUUUACACAGCACCUGAUAUGAAGUAGGACCACCCGCCGAACUUAAGCAUAUCAUUAAGCGGAGGAAAAGAAACUAACCAGGAUUCCCUCAGUACGGGCGACGGAAGCGGGAAAAGCCCACAUUGGUAAUCUCCGGGCUUUGGUCCGGCGAAUUGUAAUCUGCAGAUGUCUAGCCUACCUGCGUCGGACGCCGAAGUGCACACAUGAGCGUGCCGCCAGAGAGGGUGAGAGCCCCGUAAGGUGUCUGACGCUACCCAGGCUGGGCCUCGAAGAGUCGUGUACUUUGAUACUAGUGCACUAAGCGGGAGAUAAACUUCUUCUAAGGCUAAAUAUAAGUAGGAAACCGAUAGCGAACAAGUACUGUGAAGGAAAGAUGGAAAGCACUUUGGAAAGAGAGUUAAAAGACUUGAAAUCGCUGAGGCGGACCCGGUAGAAAUGUAUUCUAGCGAAGCGCUCUGGGAAGCUCGUACGCGAGCCACUCGAGCGCCAGCCGAGACAAGAUGGAGUCGUCCGAUGCCAGAGGCCCGUGCGCGCGCCGCUCCGGCGGAGCGCGCGCUGGGUUGGGUGUCGUUGGGUGUCGGGCGGCUUGAGGGGCCUUGCGCGAUCUUGUCAAAAUGGUUUUUACCGACUCGUCUUGAAACACGAACCAAGGAGUCUAAGACUAACGCGAGUGUGGUGGUGGAGAAACCAACACGCGAAAUGAAAGUAAAUGAUGCCAAGCACCCUGCAGCAUCGACCGACUUUUUUCUUCUGGAAGAGGUUUGAGUAAGAGCGUUAUUCUUAGGACCCGAAAGAUGGUGAACUAUGCCUGUGUAGGGUGAAGUCAGGGGAAACUCUGAUGGAAGCUCGUAGCGAUACUGACGUGCAAAUCGUUCGUCAAACAUUGGUAUAGGGGCGAAAGACUAAUCGAACCAUCUAGUAGCUGGUUCCCUCCGAAGUUUCCCUCAGGAUAGCUGGGACAACUACGCAGUUUUAUUAGGUAAAGCGAAUGAUUAGAGGCAUCGGGGAUAAAAUGUCCUUGACCUAUUCUCAAACUUUAAAUUGGUAAGAACUCCCGUCUUCUCUUAAUUGAAGCAGGAGGUUCAAUGCGUGUCCUUAGUGGGCCAUUUUUGGUAAGCAGAACUGGCGACGAGGGAUGCUCCUAACGUUGGGUUAAGGUGCCAAACUGCACGCUCAUCAGAAACUACAAAGGGUGUUAGUUCAUAAAGACAGCAGGACGGUGGCCAUGGAAGUCGGAACCCGCUAAGGAGUGUGUUACAACUCGCCUGCCGAAUGAACUAGUCCCGAAAAUGGAUGGCGCUAAAGCGUGUGACCGAUACCCGACCAUUGGUGCGAGAGUGAUGCAUCAAUGAGUAGGAGGGCGUGGGCGUCGUGGAGAAGCCUCUAGCGUGAGCUUGGGUUGAACGGCGUCUAGUGCAGAUCUUGGUGGUAGUA
Molecule: ribosomal RNA, 1739 nt
Filed under: uncultured Tintinnida
Lineage: Eukaryota; Ciliophora; Spirotrichea; Tintinnida
Description: eukaryotic LSU rRNA
Rfam family: Eukaryotic large subunit ribosomal RNA (bases 315-1739)
Source: RNAcentral